UAGUCAUAUGCUUGUCUCAAAGAUUAAGCCAUGCAUGUCUAAGUAUAAGCUUCUAUACGGUGAAACUGCGAAUGGCUCAUUAAAACAGUUAUCGUCUCCUUGACAGUCAUCCAGUUUUGGAUACCUAUGGUAAUUCUAGAGCUAAUACAUAUGCACAGACCCAACUUCACGGAAGGGUUGCGCUUAUUAGAUACUGAACCAACCCAGGCUUGCCUGGUCUUGAGUUGACUCAUAGUACCCAGCGAAUCGCGUGGCUUUGCCGGCGAUGUGUCAUCCGAGUUUCUGACCUAUCAGCUUCCGACGAUAGGGUAUUGGCCUACCGUUGCUUUGACGGGUAACGGAGAAUUAGGGUUCGAUUCCGGAGAGGGAGCCUGAGAAAUGGCUACCACAUCUAAGGAAGGCAGCAGGCGCGCAAAUUACCCAAUCUUGGCAUAGGGAGGUAGUGACAAGAAAUAACAAUACAGGGCAUCCAUGUUUUGUAAUUGGAAUGGACAGAUGUUAACCUUCUCUG
Molecule: ribosomal RNA, 511 nt
Filed under: uncultured eukaryote
Lineage: Eukaryota
Description: SSU rRNA
Rfam family: Eukaryotic small subunit ribosomal RNA
Source: RNAcentral